Molecule: non-coding RNA, 227 nt
Organism: Paramuricea clavata
Lineage: Eukaryota; Metazoa; Cnidaria; Anthozoa; Malacalcyonacea; Plexauridae
Source: the annotation of a GenBank genome assembly
GUGUCAACAUCUGGGAAACUAACUUCUGAAUCUAUUACAUACAGUUGGCAUUAUUUUUAUAGUGCUAGAUUUCAAGGUUUAAUUAGUCACCAUAGGCACAGGAGGAAAGUCCUGAAAUUUAAAAUUGAGGAGCACUUCAUGUCAACAGCACCAAAUUUAUAAUUUGUAAACUUUUGAAGAGAAAUUGGGCAAGGCAGGGGCGGAGCAAGGGUUAGGUAUAGGGAGUG